This 708-nucleotide ribosomal RNA is filed under the name Pardosa pseudoannulata. RNAcentral describes it as "SSU rRNA". It matches the Rfam family "Eukaryotic small subunit ribosomal RNA", at positions 305 to 1017 of the family's 1831-position model. The record is from RNAcentral. Lineage: Eukaryota; Metazoa; Arthropoda; Arachnida; Araneae; Lycosidae.
GUCUGCCUUAUCAACUUUCGAUGGUAGGUUACGCGCCUACCAUGGUCAUAACGGGUAACGGGGAAUCAGGGUUCGAUUCCGGAGAGGGAGCCUGAGAAACGGCUACCACAUCCAAGGAAGGCAGCAGGCGCGCAAAUUACCCACUCCCAGAACGGGGAGGUAGUGACGAAAAAUAACAAUACGGGACUCUUUUGAGACCCCGUAAUUGGAAUGAGUACACUCUAAAUCCUUUAACGAGGAUCUAUUCGAGGGCAAGUCUGGUGCCAGCCGCCGCGGUAAUUCCAGCUCCAAUAGCGUAUAUUAAAGUUGUUGCGGUUAAAAAGCUCGUAGUUGGAUCUCAGUUCCAGACGGGUGGUCCGCCAAACGGUGGUUACUGCCCGUUCUGAACAGCCAGCCGGUUUCUCUUGAUGAUCUUCACCGGUUGUCUCGGGUGACCGGCAAGUUUACUUUGAAAAAAUUAGAGUGCUCAAAGCAGGCGCGACGCCUGAAUAAUGGUGCAUGGAAUAAUGGAAUAGGACCUCGGUUCUAUUUUGUUGGUUUUCGGAACACGAGGUAAUGAUUAAGAGGGACAGACGGGGGCAUUCGUAUUGCGACGCUAGAGGUGAAAUUCUUGGACCGUCGCAAGACGAACUACUGCGAAAGCAUUUGCCAAGAAUGUUUCCAUUAAUCAAGAACGAAAGUUAGAGGUUCGAAGGCGAUCAGAUACCG